RNAcentral lists this ribosomal RNA (460 nucleotides) under uncultured bacterium. RNAcentral describes it as "partial 16S ribosomal RNA". It matches the Rfam family "Bacterial small subunit ribosomal RNA", at positions 338 to 795 of the family's 1533-position model. The record is from RNAcentral.
CCUACGGGAGGCAGCAGUGAGGAAUAUUGGUCAAUGGACGCAAGUCUGAACCAGCCAUGCCGCGUGCAGGAUGACGGCUCUAUGAGUUGUAAACUGCUUUUGUACGAGGGUAAACCCCGAUACGUGUAUCGGGUUGAAAGUAUCGUACGAAUAAGGAUCGGCUAACUCCGUGCCAGCAGCCGCGGUAAUACGGAGGAUCCGAGCGUUAUCCGGAUUUAUUGGGUUUAAAGGGUGCGUAGGCGGUUUGAUAAGUUAGAGGUGAAAUGUCGGGGCUCAACCCCGAAACUGCCUCUAAUACUGUUAGACUAGAGAAUAGUUGAGGUAGGCGGAAUGUAUGGUGUAGCGGUGAAAUGCUUAGAGAUCAUACAGAACACCGAUUGCGAAGGCAGCUUACCAAACUAUAUCUGACGUUGAGGCACGAAAGCGUGGGUAGCAAACAGGAUUAGAUACCCUAGUAGUC